Molecule: ribosomal RNA, 2050 nt
Filed under: human gut metagenome
Description: bacterial LSU rRNA
Rfam family: Bacterial large subunit ribosomal RNA
Source: RNAcentral
UAAAGCUACAAAGAGCUAAUGGGGAAUGCCUUGGUACUGACAGCCGAUGAAGGACGUGUAAAGCUGCGAUAAGCUGCGGGGAACUGCUAAAAGGUCUUGAUCCGCAGAAAUCCGAAUGGGGAAACCCUAUCAAGUUAAAACUUGAUAACUCACAAGUGAAUACAUAGCUUGUGUAGAGGAAAGCCUGUGAACUGAAACAUCUUAGUAACAGGACGAAGAGAAAAUAACCCAAUGAUUCCGAGAGUAGCGGCGAGCGAAAUUGGAAGAGCCUAAAUUGUGUGUACGUGAUAGCCUGCAAGCGUUGUGCACAUGAGGUUGUGGGACUUGCAUCAUAUUUUGCAGAAUAUGGAUUGAGUUAGAAAAUUAUUUAUUAGUUAAAGUCAACUGGGAAGUUGCGCCAUAGAGAGUGAUAGCCUCGUAAACGACAAUAAAUAAUCUCAAGUAAGUAUCCCGAGUAAGGCGGGGCACGUGAAACCCUGUCUGAAUCCACCGGGACCAUCCGGUAAGGCUAAAUACUAGUCAGUGACCGAUAGUGAACGAGUACAGUGAUGGAAAGGCGAAAAGAACAGUGAGAAGCUGAGUGAAAUAGACCCUGAAACCGUUAGCUUACAACCAGUCAGAGCACAAUUAAUUGUGUGAUGGCGUGCCUGUUGAAGAAUGAGCCGGCGAGUUAUUUUUUGUUGCGAGGUUAAGGAGAUCAUAUCCGGAGCCACAGGGAAACCGAGUCUGAAUAGGGCGUUAAGUAACAGGAAAUAGACCCGAACCUUGGUGAUCUAACCUUGACCAGGAUGAAGCGUGGGUAACACUACGUGGAGGUCCGAACCAACCGAUGUUGAAAAAUCGGUGGAUGAGUUGAGGUUAGGGGUGAAAUGCCAAUCGAACCAAGAGCUAGCUGGUUCUCCCCGAAAUGCGUUUAGGCACAGCGUUGGAUUUAUCUUGCAGGAGGUAGAGCACUGGUUUUGUGCGGGCGUCGAAAUGAUGUACCAAACAAUGUCAAACUCCGAAUACCUGUAAUGUCAUUAUCCAGCAGUGAGGCUAUGAGUGAUAAGAUCCAUGGCCAAGAGGGAAACAGCCCAGAACGCCAGUUAAGGUCCCUAAUAUAUGCUAAGUGGUUAAGGAGGUAGAGUUACUGAGACAACCAGGAGGUUGGCUUAGAAGCAGCCAUCCCUUGAAAGAGUGCGUAAUAGCUCACUGGUCAAGCGACUCCGCGCCGAAAAUACACCGGGACUAAAGCAUAUAACCGAAGCUGCGUCAUAUAGUUUACUAUAUGGGUAGGGGAGCGUACUGUAGUAAGACGAAGCUAGAGUGAAAACACUAGUGGAUGAGGCAGUAGUGAGAAUGUCGGCAUAAGUAGCGAAAACAUUGGUGAGAAUCCAAUGCACCGAAAACCUAAGGUUUCCCACGGCAGGCUCGUCCGCGUGGGGUUAGUCGGAUCCUAAGCUCAGGCCAAACGGCGUAGGCGAUGGACAAUAGGUUGAUAUUCCUAUACUAUCUGAUAAUCGUUAUCAGAAGCGGAGGGACGCAAGAGGAUAAGCACGCAGUCGACUGGAAGAGACUGUAUAAGCGUGUAGCUAGGUUUGACAGGAAAAUCCGUCAAAUCGUUAAUGUGAGGCGUGAUGUGGAGAGUCUACGGACUCGAAGGUGUUGACUCCAAAUUGCCAAGAAAAUCUUCGCUCUCGAGAUUAUUGGGUAUCCGUACCGUAAACCGCCACAGGUAGGUUAGUAGAACAUACUAAGGUGCGCGAGACAACUCUCGCUAAGGAACUCGGCAAAAUCACCUCGUAACUUCGGGAGAAGAGGUACCCUGGUAGCGUGAAGCGAUUUACUCGUGAAGCGUGAUAGGGUCGCAGUGAAUUGGCCCAUGCGACUGUUUACCAAAAACACAGGUCUCUGCUAAGUCGAUCAAGACGAUGUAUAGGGGCUGACGCCUGCCCGGUGUCGGAAGGUUACGUGGAAGGGUUAGUAGUAAUACGAAGCUCUGAAACUAAGCCCCGAUGAACGGCGGCCGUAACUAUAACGGUCCUAAGGUAGCGAAAUUCCUUGUCAGGUA